CACCGUAGAAACAGUUAAGACCGUCAUUGUUGCUAGCCGUGUUUUCCUGAGUCUCGAUAUUUUCCUGCAUAUUCAUUUCCGCUGUUUUUAUGUCCGAGAACCUGCAUAUUCAUUGACGAUCGAUCACGCGGCGAUUAACACAAGGGUCAUUGAAAAACGCGCGCUUGUUUUUUACACCAUCCAGUUUGUCGUCCGCAAAGAAGAGGGGGCGAUAAUAGCAGCAAUAAUAGGCAAAAGAGUGGUACAAUUGUACUGCGCUCGCGUGACGGUGGUUAUUCCAUUACGGGACAGGGAAGGAGACGGUGGUAAUAGUCGUCAUCGUUGUUUUUCCUAGUGACUGCACUAACUACGACGAGAUGGGUUACCUCAAGUCGACCGGCACCUUCAUCAUCUAUGUCGGCCUGUUUUUGGCCUUGGUUACGUUUCUCCCAGGCUUGCCGCCGCACGUGGAGUUCGAAGAGUACAGCAUAGCGUUACCGCGCACUGUCGAUCCCAAGGUAGGCCCGAAAAUCCGGCUACGUGGCGCCCAACGGAUGUACGUUGACGAGAUCUUAGGAGCCGAAAAUUUUGAUUCCUACAAUGGUGAACUAUACAGCGGGAUCCACGGCGGUUACAUCAUAAGAUUGGAGGAGAAUCGCGUCGUCCCGAUCGUGAAAUUCGGCAAGGAGUGCGAUGGCGUUUGGCAAGAACACAUAUGUGGCAGGCCAUUAGGAUUUAAGUUUGACAAGAAUGGCAACUUAUUCGUAUCGGAUACUUAUUAUGGAAUUUUCAAAGUGAAUAUGGCCACCAAAGAGUACAAAAACAUAGUAAAUGUUACUAAGCCAAUUGACGGAAAAAGACCAACAAUUCCUAACAGUAUAGAUGUCGCAGAAAAUGGAGAUCUUUAUUGGACUGAUAGCAGUACAGAUUUCCUUCUUCAUGAAGGAUUACAUACGUUUUUGGCUAAUCCAUCAGGAAGGUUUAUACGUUACAAUGCGGCUGAGAAUAAAAACGAGGUGCUGUUGCGAAAUCUCGGAUUUGCAAACGGGGUUAAAUUGAGCGACGACGAGAGCUUCGUAGUUGUCGCGGAAACGCUGAAAUCUUGCAUCGUGAAGUAUCACUUGAAAGGACCAAAGGCCGGGCAACAUGAGAUCCUUAUGGCGGGUUUGCCAGGUUUGGUGGACAACAUACAUAGUGACGGUCACGGUGCUUUCCUCGUCUCAAUAGUCUUAGGUCUUAGCCCUGAGCAUCCUAUAUUGUCGCAAAGCCUCAUGCCACAUCCGUACAUUAGAAAGAUGCUUUCGCGUUUGCUCACUUUGAUUGAAAUGCCAUUUGAACUGAUUCACCGUUAUUAUUCCAAUGUCUAUGUGGAGAAAAUCAUGAAUUGGCUCGGAUCGUUUCAAAUGGUAGCAAUAAUAGACACGAUGCAGAGAUCUAUGGUGAUGAGAUUCGAUGGGUCUGGUAACAUCCUAGAUAUCGUCUCCUCGGACAAUACGGACAUAAUCAAUGGUAUCAGUUCGGCUUACAUACACAACGGUUAUCUGUGGCUCGGUAGCCCAUGGAAUAAUUAUGUCGGGAGAGUGCCAUUGAAACAGGCUUUCCCCGACCUGGCGGUCGACGGUGAGAAAAGCGCCAAGAGCGAGAAGCAGCCUCCGAAGGCUGUUGCUUCGGAUGCGAACGCGGCCAGAACAAAACGGGACACGGGCUCUGCAACGACGGCGAAACCAACACCGAAGAAAACUGCCCCACCGGUAACACCGAAGCCAACCGCUGCUCCAGCUGCACCGAAGCUAACUCCUGCGCCUACAACAACGCCUAAGCCAACUGCGGCUCCUACGACGACGACGACGACGACACCCAAGCCAACUGCGGCUCCCACAACAACACCGAAGCCGACCGCCGCGCCGAAAGCAGCUCCCAAAGCCGAUAAGUCCACUAACGCAGACGUGAAAUCGUCGGAGACUAAGCGAGCCCCGAAAUCCACCAAUGACGAAAUUAAGAAUGACGUGAAAACCGGUACAAAGUCGAAUGCCAAACCCGAGACGAACGAUAGAAUGCGAGAAAACGCUGCGAAAACGAGUACAAAAUCCGGGAAGAAAAUAGAAAAAGAUGCUUCCGCACAAAAAGUGAAUCCGAGAAAGUGAGUUUAGCAGAAAUCAAGCCGUCCAAAGGAUUCUAACGAAAAAGAAAGAUUCCGACAAAACAAAUUCUAAUGAGAAACAAAACAAGCGACACACACACACAUAUACACACAGUGUAAAAUUAUCAAUACUUGCUAAGCGAUAACUAAGCUAAGCGAUAUACUAAUAUCUCAGAAAUUCCAUUUCCGCGAAAAAUUGAUGCAAGUUACUUACGAGGCUGGCAAUUUUUCGUGGCAAAUAGAUUCGUUUCGUGUAAAUUAAUUUGGAACCGAGUGCACAAUCGUGUAUAUACAUUCUAGAAGGCAACGCAACAAUGCGUGUGUUGAGUACUAGGUGCUCAGUGAGCUUUCGGAUUCAUUUGUACUUUUGAUCUUGAAUAAAUUCAAAAGUAUGCACUAAACAAAUUCGAGAACUCACUAAGCGAUCAGUGAGCGAUUGUAACACUGAAUGCACGCAAUAUAUUAAGAAGACCUGUUAGCUUUAUUACGCUGACUUAUUAACGAUAGAAGAUUAAGAAGGAAUGUUUGUGACUGUGAUGCGUGUGUAUAUAUACAUAUAUAUAUAUGAAGUUGAAAAUCUUGUUGUUUUUUACAAAUUUUAAUAUCCACACAUGAUAUAUAUAUGUGUGUGUGUGUGUGUGUGUGUGUGUGUGUGUGUGUGUGUGUGUUCAUUCCGUUGUUUAGUAUAUAUUCUACGUAUGAUUUUUAUAUUUAUAUAUUCUAAUUUUGUAGAUUUUGCGAGAGAUUAAAAUGCUCAUACUGAGUAGAUAAUUUUUUUUUCUUUAACGUUCCGUUUUUUCAUUAUCUUUGUUAUUAUCGCUAUUGAUAUUCUGUCUUUGUACUCAUUUUCAAAAGCGAAUGCGCAUAAUUAUGUUAAUUAUAAUUAUGCGCAAAUAUUAAACUGGUAACGCGAUUUUCUCGCACGGACGUAUAACAACCGAUAAUAUAUUGUAAUUACCUAAUUGUGUUACGAUUGUAGAUUGUCUUGCAUCCUAAUCUGUGUAAGUGUCGGUUUAAAAUACCUAUUGUGGGCCGAAAUAUUGCUCGCAUCACCAUAUUACCGUUGCUCUUAUCAAAGUUACGAUCUGUGUUGAAUCUUCUUUAUUCUUAGUGAUAAAAAGAAACGCUCCUUGAACUUUUCGCUAAUCCAGUAUCAUUAUAUGGCAUUAAUAGGCAAUCUUCGUUAAGUUUAUCUGUUUUUAUUUUUAUACUUACGUUUUUAUUUUAUUACGGUACAGGGAAUAUAUAUCGAAUAAGUUAUCUUUAAAUGUAUGUAUACGUGUGUAUGUAUGUGUGUAAGAAUAAUUUACGAGUAAAUUGUAGAACUAUGUAACGCAAGUUUGAGAACUUGAUGCACAAAAACGUUUCUGUUAAAGCUGAGUGUAUACACGCCAAGAAUUAUGACUCCUAAUAACUUUGUUAUCUUCAGGUCUGAAGUGUAAAGUAACCCGUAAGAAGUUGUACAGUUUAACAAUUAUAACAAUAAAGCGAACCUUUUAAAUAUUUA
This is an RNA transcript of Dinoponera quadriceps, 3626 nucleotides long. It is a transcript of the gene named adipocyte plasma membrane-associated protein-like, with no coding region annotated. Lineage: Eukaryota; Metazoa; Arthropoda; Insecta; Hymenoptera; Formicidae. The transcript has 5 exons. The record is from RefSeq and is a predicted model, not a curated record.